CCUACGGGUGGCAGCAGUGGGGAAUAUUGGGCAAUGGGCGAAAGCCUGACCCAGCCACGCCGCGUGAGUGAUGAAGGCCUUCGGGUCGUAAAGCUCUGUGGGGAGGGACGAAUCCGCUCGGGGAACAAUACCCCCGAGCCCUGACGGUACCUCCUUAGCAAGCACCGGCUAACUCCGUGCCAGCAGCCGCGGUAAUACGGAGGGUGCAAACGUUGCUCGGAAUCAUUGGGCGUAAAGCGUGUGUAGGCGGCCUGUUAAGUCGGGUGUGAAAGCCCUCGGCUCAACCGAGGAAGUGCAUUCGAAACUAGCAGGCUUGAGUACGGGAGAGGGUAGCGGAAUUCCCGGUGUAGAGGUGAAAUUCGUAGAUAUCGGGAGGAACACCAGUGGCGAAGGCGGCUACCUGGACCGAUACUGACGCUGAGACACGAAAGCGUGGGGAG
RNAcentral lists this ribosomal RNA (440 nucleotides) under uncultured bacterium. Its description in RNAcentral is "bacterial SSU rRNA". It matches the Rfam family "Bacterial small subunit ribosomal RNA", at positions 338 to 768 of the family's 1533-position model. The record is from RNAcentral.